Molecule: non-coding RNA, 92 nt
Organism: Podospora conica
Lineage: Eukaryota; Fungi; Ascomycota; Sordariomycetes; Sordariales; Podosporaceae
Source: the annotation of a GenBank genome assembly
UCGGGUAUGGUGUAGCGGUAACAUCGCUGACUCUCACUGUGAUCCUCUCAGAGACCACUCAGCAGCCCGGGGUUCGACUCCCCGUAUCCGAG